GACGAACGCUGGCGGCGUGCUUAACACAUGCAAGUCGAACGGAAAGGCCCUGCUUUUGUGGGGUGCUCGAGUGGCGAACGGGUGAUUAACACGUGAGUAACCUGCCCUUGACUUUGGGAUAACUUCAGGAAACGUGGGCUAAUACCGGAUAGGAGCUCCUGCUGCAUGGUGGGGGUUGGAAAGUUUCGGCGGUUGGGGAUGGACUCGCGGCUUAUCAGCUUGUUGGUGGGGUAGUGGCUUACCAAGGCUUUGACGGGUAGCCGGCCUGAGAGGGUGACCGGCCACAUUGGGACUGAGAUACGGCCCAGACUCCUACGGGAGGCAGCAGUGGGGAAUAUUGCACAAUGGGCGGAAGCCUGAUGCAGCAACGCCGCGUGCGGGAUGACGGCCUUCGGGUUGUAAACCGCUUUCGCCUGUGACGAAGCGUGAGUGACGGUAAUGGGUAAAGAAGCACCGGCUAACUACGUG
This 468-nucleotide ribosomal RNA is filed under the name uncultured bacterium. RNAcentral describes it as "partial 16S ribosomal RNA". It matches the Rfam family "Bacterial small subunit ribosomal RNA", at positions 28 to 507 of the family's 1533-position model. The record is from RNAcentral.